AACGCACCUUGCACCCUUUGGUAUUCCGAAGGGUAUGCCCGUUUGAGUGUCAUUGUAAUCUCACACCCCUAGAUUUAUUCGACGGGCGGUGGACUUGGAUGCUGCCGCGUUAAGCGGCUCGUCUUAAAUGCAUUAGUGCAACUUUCGGUUGGACAUAGUACAGCGUGAUAAGUAUCUUCGCUGGCUCUCCUCACGGAGGUGUUCGAACGUUAAGCUCUGUGCUUCUAAUCGUCCCCUGGUGGACUAAGCUUCGGCUUACUUGACAACUUGACCUCAAAUCGGGUAGGACUACCCGCUGAACUUAA
Molecule: unclassified non-coding RNA, 305 nt
Filed under: uncultured Chaetospermum
Lineage: Eukaryota; Fungi; Basidiomycota; Agaricomycetes; Sebacinales
Description: sequence contains ITS2
Source: RNAcentral